Molecule: ribosomal RNA, 253 nt
Filed under: uncultured bacterium
Lineage: Bacteria
Description: partial 16S ribosomal RNA
Rfam family: Bacterial small subunit ribosomal RNA
Source: RNAcentral
UACGUAGGGUGCAAGCGUUGUUCGGAAUCACUGGGCGUAAAGAGAGCGUAGGCGGGAUCGUAAGUUAGGAGUUUAAUCCACGGGCUCAACCUGUGAUCGGCUUUUAAUACUGCGGUUCUUGAGUAUGGGAGAGGGCGAUGGAAUUCCAGGUGUAGCGGUGGAAUGCGUAGAUAUCUGGAAGAACACCAGUAGCGAAGGCGGUCGCCUGGCCCAAUACUGACGCUGAGGCUCGAAAGCUAGGGGAGCAAACAGG